GAUGAACGCUCGCUACAGGCUUAACACAUGCAAGUCGAGGGGAAACGACAUCGAAAGCUUGCUUUUGAUGGGCGUCGACCGGCGCACGGGUGAGUAACGCGUAUCCAACCUGCCCAUCACUUGGGAAUAACCUUGCGAAAGUAAGACUAAUACCCAAUGACAUCCCACGAAGACAUCUGAAUGGGAUUAAAGAUUUAUCGGUGAUGGAUGGGGAUGCGUCUGAUUAGCUUGUUGGCGGGGUAACGGCCCACCAAGGCAACGAUCAGUAGGGGUUCUGAGAGGAAGGUCCCCCACAUUGGAACUGAGACACGGGCCAAACUCCUACGGGAGGCAGCAGUGAGGAAUAUUGGUCAAUGGGCGAGAGCCUGAACCAGCCAAGUAGCGUGCAGGAUGACGGCCCUAUGGGUUGUAAACUGCUUUUAUAAGGGAAUAAAGUGGGUCUCGUGAGACUUUUUGCAUGUACCUUAUGAAUAAGGACCGGCUAAUUCCGUG
Molecule: ribosomal RNA, 492 nt
Filed under: uncultured bacterium
Lineage: Bacteria
Description: partial 16S ribosomal RNA
Rfam family: Bacterial small subunit ribosomal RNA
Source: RNAcentral